GAUGAACGCUGGCGGCGUGCCUAAUACAUGCAAGUCGAGCGAACAGACGAGGAGCUUGCUCCUCUGACGUUAGCGGCGGACGGGUGAGUAACACGUGGAUAACCUACCUAUAAGACUGGGAUAACUUCGGGAAACCGGAGCUAAUACCGGAUAAUAUAUUGAACCGCAUGGUUCAAUAGUGAAAGACGGUUUUGCUGUCACUUAUAGAUGGAUCCGCGCCGCAUUAGCUAGUUGGUAAGGUAACGGCUUACCAAGGCGACGAUGCGUAGCCGACCUGAGAGGGUGAUCGGCCACACUGGAACUGAGACACGGUCCAGACUCCUACGGGGGGCAGCAGUAGGGAAUCUUCCGCAAUGGGCGAAAGCCUGACGGAGCAACGCCGCAUGAGUGAUGAAGGUCUUCGGAUCGUAAAACUCUGUUAUUAGGGAAGAACAAAUGUGUAAGUAACUAUGCACGUCUUGACGGUACCUAAUCAGAAAGCCACGGCUAACUACGUG
Molecule: ribosomal RNA, 497 nt
Filed under: uncultured bacterium
Lineage: Bacteria
Description: partial 16S ribosomal RNA
Rfam family: Bacterial small subunit ribosomal RNA
Source: RNAcentral